This is a long non-coding RNA of Clupea harengus (Atlantic herring), 1177 nucleotides long. The record is from Ensembl. Lineage: Eukaryota; Metazoa; Chordata; Actinopteri; Clupeiformes; Clupeidae.
GUGUGUGUGUGUGUAAUAGGUGUGUGUCUCUGUGUGUGUGUGUGUGUCUCUGUGUGUGUGUGUGUGUGUGUGUGAUAGGUGUGUGUCUCUGUGUGUGUGUGUGUGUGUGUGUGUGUGUGUGUGUGUGUGUGUGUGUGUGUGUGUGAGACACACUAUGAGACACAGAUGGACAAUCUCACGCGAGGACAAACCAGACUGGGCCGGGUCAACUCACCGUUCUCGUCCUCUCUGGAGCUGAUGGAACCCGUGGUGCUGCUGGCCUCGUCCUCGUCCUCCGUCUCCGGCUCGUCUCCGUUGGACACGCUCGCCCCUGGGGGGGUCGAUGUGGGCGUCUGGGGGGCAGGACGAGCCUCCACGGGCACCUCAGCUGGGGAGGGCAACGCUGCACUUCCCUGGCCUUCCACCAGGGGGCAGGCUUCCAGGCCAUUCUCCUGACUCAGCACACACUCACUGCUCCCCCCGUUGGUCUGAGGGGGCAGAUCCUCCUCACACACAGGCUGGGCCAACACUGGGGGGACGGGGAGGGGGACGGGGGCGGGGGCGGGGAGGGGCAGUUUGGGCUUCUUAGUCGCCACAGGAGGUUUCUGCUUCGGGGCAGUUGGGGCAGUUGGCCUCUGCGUCUCCACUGGGCUGAUAAGCAGAGGGGCAGCUGGCAAGGCCUUCUCCUCCUCUUCCUCCUCUUCCUCCUCCUCCUUCACUGGGUGUGCUGACCCGUUAGGGACACAGGGGUUUGGCUCCCCGUGAUCAGAGCCAUUGCAGAGCGGGCCGCUGUCUGGUACCGCGACAAGAACCACUGCUGCCCCGUCUGGACCGGACCCGUCGCCGCGGGCCACCAGGGGCACCAGGGGCGGCUCAGAGGGGGGUUCUACUCCGGCGGCGGUCUUCACGGGCGCGUGUGGUCUGAGGGUGGUCCGGUCGGGCCUGGCGUCCGGCGGUCCGGCGCGGUCCGUGGCGGUGUCGUCUGUGGCGGGCCGCCGGACGGAGCGGAGCCGGACCCUCUGGAGGGCGGAGGCUGUGAUGAGGGGCGCGGGCGCGGGCGUCUUCUCAGGCCUGGCAGAGGGACCGUUGCUACUGGCAACGCGUUUGAGACCGCCUUUAGCGCUCAGCAGAGCCGCGGGAGACGCCACAGGGGCGGAGGGGGGCGGGAGAGGGGGGGCUGGAGGUGGAGGGGGAGGUG